AACGCACGAGACCUGCGGACCUGCGGAGGGAUCAUUAAUGAGAAACUGCCCCUCGCGGGUAGAUCUCCCACCCUUUGUAAACUUACCUUUGUUGCUUUGGCAGGCCCGUCUCCGGACCGCCGGCUUCGGCUGGCCAGUGCCUGCCAGAGGAUUCUAAAACUCUGUCUGUCAGUGUUGCCUGAGUCUAUAUACAAUCGUUAAAACUUUUAACAACGGAUCUCUAGAUCGGAAGAGCACACG
This 240-nucleotide unclassified non-coding RNA is filed under the name soil metagenome. Its description in RNAcentral is "partial contains 5.8S ribosomal RNA, internal transcribed spacer 2, and large subunit ribosomal RNA". The record is from RNAcentral.